Molecule: ribosomal RNA, 406 nt
Filed under: uncultured bacterium
Lineage: Bacteria
Description: partial 16S ribosomal RNA
Rfam family: Bacterial small subunit ribosomal RNA
Source: RNAcentral
AUUGAACGCUGGCGGCAGGCCUAAUACAUGCAAGUCGAACGUGUCGCGGACGGGUGUGUAAUGUCUGGGAAAUUGCCUGUUGGAGGGGGAUAACUUCUGGAAACGGUAGUCAUUACCGCUCACCAUCGGAUGUGCACAGAUGGGCUUAGCUAGUAGGUGGGGUAAAGGCUCACCUAGGCCACGAUCCCUAGCUGGUCUGAGGGGAUGACCAGCCACACUGGAGGUAGGACCCGCUCCAAACACCUACGGAAGGCACCGGAGGGGAAUAUUGCACAAGGGGCUCGAGCCUAAUGCGACCAUGCCGCGUAUAUAAAGAAGGCCUUCGAGUUGAAAAGUACUUUCAGCGGGAGGGCGUUACCCACAGAAGAAGCACCGGCUAACUCCGUGCCAGCAGCCGCGGUAAUUC